RNAcentral lists this non-coding RNA (30 nucleotides) under Mus musculus (house mouse). Lineage: Eukaryota; Metazoa; Chordata; Mammalia; Rodentia; Muridae. The record is from RNAcentral.
GCCUUUUUGGGAUGGUCUCGAUUACUGCAG